RNAcentral lists this ribosomal RNA (348 nucleotides) under uncultured bacterium. RNAcentral's name for it is "bacterial SSU rRNA". It matches the Rfam family "Bacterial small subunit ribosomal RNA", at positions 287 to 647 of the family's 1533-position model. The record is from RNAcentral.
CCGGCCUGAGAGGGCGACCGGCCACACUGGGACUGAGACACGGCCCAGACUCCUACGGGAGGCAGCAGUGGGGAAUAUUGCGCAAUGGGCGAAAGCCUGACGCAGCAACGCCGCGUGAGGGAUGACGGCCUUCGGGUUGUAAACCUCUUUCAGCAGGGACGAAGCGAAAGUGACUGUACCUGCAGAAGAAGCGCCGGCUAACUACGUGCCAGCAGCCGCGGUAAUACGUAGGGCGCAAGCGUUGUCCGGAUUUAUUGGGCGUAAAGAGUUCGUAGGCGGUCUGUCGCGUCGGAAGUGAAAACCCGGAGCUCAACUCCGGGCCUGCUUUCGAUACGGGCAGACUUGAGU